GACGAAGGUGGCAAGCGUUGUUCGGAAUCACUGGGCUUAAAGCGUACGUAGGCGGCCCGUCAAGUGCCUUGUGAAAUCCCCCGGCUCAACCGGGGAAUUGCUUGGUAGACUGACAGGCUUGAGGCAGGUAGGGGUAAGUGGAACUCUUGGUGGAGCGGUGAAAUGCGUAGAUAUCAAGAGGAACGCCGGUGGCGAAGGCGACUUACUGGGCCUGUCCUGACGCUGAGGUACGAAAGCCAGGGGAGCAAACGGG
RNAcentral lists this ribosomal RNA (253 nucleotides) under uncultured bacterium. RNAcentral's name for it is "partial 16S ribosomal RNA". It matches the Rfam family "Bacterial small subunit ribosomal RNA", at positions 524 to 776 of the family's 1533-position model. The record is from RNAcentral.